CAAAUACUCCCUCCGUCCCAAAAUUCUUGUCUUAGAUUUGUCUAAAUACGGAUGUAUUAAGUCGCAUUUUAGUAUUAGAUACAUCCGUAUCUAGACAAAUCUAAGACAAGAAUUUUGGGACGGAGGGAGUAUCUU
Triticum aestivum (bread wheat) is the source of this 135-nucleotide non-coding RNA. The record is from Rfam. Lineage: Eukaryota; Viridiplantae; Streptophyta; Magnoliopsida; Poales; Poaceae.